Molecule: ribosomal RNA, 253 nt
Filed under: uncultured bacterium
Lineage: Bacteria
Description: partial 16S ribosomal RNA
Rfam family: Bacterial small subunit ribosomal RNA
Source: RNAcentral
UACAGAGGGGGCAAGCGUUGUUCGGAAUUACUGGGCGUAAAGGGCGCGUAGGCGGCCUUCUAAGUCGAACGUGAAAUCCCCGGGCUCAACCCGGGAACUGCGUCCGAGACUGGAAGGCUCGAAUCCGGGAGAGGGAUGUGGAAUUCCAGGUGUAGCGGUGAAAUGCGUAGAUAUCUGGAGGAACAUCGGUGGCGAAGGCGGCAUCCUGGACCGGUAUUGGCGCUGAGGCGCGAAAGCCAGGGGAGCAAACGGG